UCUCUCUCUCUCUCUCUUAAAUCUCUGCAAAAGCAAAGGCGAUUUCUAGAUGAAAAUAUAUGGGAACUUGAAGUUUGAUUUAUGCCAACCAUCUGGAUAUGUGUUUCAGAAGAUUCGAUGGGUACUUAACUACAGUUGUAUUAUUGUCUGCUUCAUAUGAGGAACCUCUUAAAAGUAAAGCCUAAUCUAACUGCAAACCCUACUGUCAAUAAGGGAACUCCGAUCCACCAGUUCUCUGGCGAAGCAGCUAGUCCUCUAUCCGUGAGUUGUGCCUGUUAUGACAACUGUUUGUAAUUUGUAAUUUUUUAAGAAAUUUUCAUACACUAUUCCGAAAAUAUAUAAUUUUUUUUUGUAAUUAACUUUUCUUUUUUAAGAGAGAGAGAAACCAAUUUGAUGGAAAGGAGAAAG
This 408-nucleotide unclassified non-coding RNA is filed under the name Hevea brasiliensis (rubber tree). The record is from RNAcentral. Lineage: Eukaryota; Viridiplantae; Streptophyta; Magnoliopsida; Malpighiales; Euphorbiaceae.